RNAcentral lists this ribosomal RNA (253 nucleotides) under uncultured bacterium. RNAcentral's name for it is "partial 16S ribosomal RNA". It matches the Rfam family "Bacterial small subunit ribosomal RNA", at positions 524 to 776 of the family's 1533-position model. The record is from RNAcentral.
UACGUAGGGUGCAAGCGUUGUCCGGAAUUAUUGGGCGUAAAGAGCUCGUAGGCGGUUUGUCGCGUCUGCUGUGAAAACCCGAGGCUCAACCUCGGGCCUGCAGUGGGUACGGGCAAACUAGAGUGCGGUAGGGGAGAAUGGAAUUCCUGGUGUAGCGGUGGAAUGCGCAGAUAUCAGGAGGAACACCGAUGGCGAAAGCAGGUACCUGGACCAUUACUGACACUCAGCUGCGAAAGCUAGGGGAGCAAACAGG